GAAUACUCUUGGUGACCGAUAGCGGAUAGUACCGUGAGGGAAUGGUGAAAAGUACCCCGGGAGGGGAGUGAAAGAGUACCUGAAACCGUGUGCCUACAAUCCGUCAGAGCCCUUGUGUGGGGUGAUGGCGUGCCUUUUGAAGAAUGAGCCUGCGAGUUAGUGGCAUGUGGCGAGGUUAACCCGUGUGGGGAAGCCGCAGCGAAAGCGAGUCCGAAUAGGGCGUGUCAGUCGUGUGUCCUAGACCCGAAGCGGAGUGAUCUAGCCAUGGGCAGGGUGAAGCGCCGGUAAGACGGCGUGGAGGCCCGAACCCACCUAGGUUGAAAACUGGGGGGAUGAUCUGUGGUUAGGGGUGAAAGGCCAAUCAAACUCUGUGAUAGCUGGUUCUCCCCGAAAUGCAUUUAGGUGCAGCGUCACGUGGUGCUUUGCGGAGGUAGAGCGACUGGAUGACUGAUGGGCCCGCGAGGGUUACUGACGUCAGCUAAACUCCGAAUGCCGUGAAGUCAGCGUGGCAGUGAGACUGCG
This 522-nucleotide ribosomal RNA is filed under the name Brevibacterium ravenspurgense. Its description in RNAcentral is "bacterial LSU rRNA". It matches the Rfam family "Bacterial large subunit ribosomal RNA", at positions 468 to 993 of the family's 2925-position model. The record is from RNAcentral. Lineage: Bacteria; Bacillati; Actinomycetota; Actinomycetes; Micrococcales; Brevibacteriaceae.